AAAGGAAGGUGGGGAUUGAUUUUGGGGGUUAUGGUACCAACUGUUAAGGAAUUAGGGGCCAAAAAGGGGCCAAAAAUAAGCAUUUUUGUAACUUCCAGACAUAACUUGUGUGUUAGUGUAUGGAUCUCUCUGACAUUGUACCACAAGGUUCCAUAUCACAAAGGGAAUGCUGGGAUUGAUUUUGGGGGUAAUUGCCUCCAAAUUUUAGGAAUUAGGGGCCAAAAAGGGGCAAAAAACAAGCAGUUUUCUAGUUUCAUGACAACAACUUGUGUGUAUGUGUAUGGAUCUUUUUGAAAUUGUACUACAAGGUUCCAUAUCACAAAGGGAAGGCUGGGAUUGAGUUUGGGGGUAAUUGCCCAAAACGUUUAGGAAUUAGGGGCCAAAAAUAAGCAUUUUUCUAGUUUCCAGACAAUAACUUGUGUUCAAGUGUAUGGAUCUCUCUGAAAUUGUACUGCAAGGUACCAUACCACAAAGGGAAGGCUGGGAUUAAUUUUGGGGGUAAUUGCCUCAAAAUUUUAGGAAUUAGGGGCCAUAAAGGGGCAAAAAACCAAGCAUUUUUCUAGUUUCAGAACAAUAACUUGUGUGUAAGUGUAUGGAUCUUUAUGAAAUUGUACUACAAGGUUCCAUAUCACAAAGGGAAAGCUGGGUUUGAGUUUGGGGGUAAUUGCCCUAAACGUUUAGGAAUUUGGGGCCAAAAAUGUGCCAAAAAACAAGCAUUUUUCUAGUUUCCAGACAAUAACUUGUGUUCAAGUGUAUGGAUCUCUCUGAAAUUGUACUGCAAGGUACCAUACCACAAAGGGAAGGCUAGGAUU
Molecule: long non-coding RNA, 812 nt
Organism: Mytilus californianus (California mussel)
Lineage: Eukaryota; Metazoa; Mollusca; Bivalvia; Mytilida; Mytilidae
Exons: 2
Source: RefSeq, a predicted model, not a curated record